This is a long non-coding RNA of Phyllostomus hastatus (greater spear-nosed bat), 1426 nucleotides long. RefSeq lists it as uncharacterized. The record is from RefSeq and is a predicted model, not a curated record. NCBI's taxonomy places the organism in Eukaryota, Metazoa, Chordata, Mammalia, Chiroptera, Phyllostomidae. The transcript has 4 exons.
AUCCCGCCCGAAAGCUGCAGCGCGCCCGAUGGCCAGGCGCUGCAAGUUCGGGCCCACGGCGUCCGCCCGCCCGGGGAUGCACGUGAACUUGGAGAAAGUCGCGGGGCGUUUUGGCCCGGACCUCCGCGGCAGGGCGUGGGCGCCCCCGGCCCGGCGCGCUUUCGUUUUCGUCCAGGACAAAGGUCCCUCGCGGCGCUAGUCGCCGACGCGGAGACUGGGUCCCGCGGGCCACUCUUCGGCGAGGUCUGGCGGUUCAGUAUUGGGAAGACGGAGCCGGGAGAAGAGGAGCAGUGCAGUCCGCGGCGCGGUGCGGGACUGGGGGAGCGGGGCCUGGCUGUGCGCUUCGCCCGCGCGGUGAGGGAGCCGACCUGCCCUGCGAAGAGUUUCGGGAGACGGCACCGCUUGGCUUUCUGCCGUUUGGGCGCCUGAGGAAGGGAAGCGUUUGGAGCCCAGGACUCGGACCGAGGGCCGAGGGCCUGUGCAAGGGCUGUGGGCACCAUAGCGCAGCGCGGGCUGUGUCCGGGCGCGUUCUCCCGCAAGGGCACGGCUGCCGACCUGCGCGCCACGGGUCACCGUCGGGUUCAAGGCGACUCCUGAGAACGGAUGUGGCUCCUCCCAGAGCACCCCCGAGGAAGUGGGGUCCGAGACGGCCUGUGAAUGGUGCUCCAGGACCGCACAGCCCAGGUGUCAGCCCGCCUGUCCGGCCACCGCACUCCCCCGGUGACUGAUGCCUGAAGCUUGGGUGGCUCUGCCACCGCAGGUUGGACAGUGGCGCCCGGACGAGUCCCCUGCCUGAAGCUGGGCUUCGUCGUGGUGAGCUGGGUGUCAGGGCGGCCCCCGGCCUGGGACAGCCCCGCCCUGCAGGGUGCCUCUCCUCUGGCUGCCCCGCCGGGUCCCUAGGUGCCGGGUCCCUAGGUGCCGUUGCCCCGGGAAGUAGGGGCCGUGGGACAUCUGGAGACAGGGAGGGGUGUGGUCAGAGCUGUGUCCCUCCCCUGCAGCUCUGGGUGUCACCGUCAGGCACAGAGGCCCUGAGAAGGGGACCUCCCGGUCCAGCCGCCACACCCUCGCCCAGCUGUGCCCUCCACCCGAAGCCGUGUCCCUCCCUGCCCCGCUGGUCCCCCGCCAACCCCCCAUUUCCCACACCUCAUCCACCCAUCCUGCGCGCCUGACAUCAUGCCCUUCGACCUGCUGGUCUCUGAGGUCCGCUCUGGCCGCCCCCGCCCCAUCUGAGUGGCCGUGGCCCGGCGGGGCCCUGGGCCCGAGCAGAGCGUCUGGGUGGGUGAGGCGCCCUCGGCCCGUCUCCCUCUGUGCCCGGGGUUCAGCUGCCGCUGUGCACCCCUUCUCCUCCUGCCUCGAGGGUCCCCCGGGGCCAGCAGGGCCCGAGGAAGCCCCCUUCCCUCCACACAGCUGUGAACCGGCCCUUGAG